This 68-nucleotide non-coding RNA is filed under the name unclassified sequences. The record is from RNAcentral.
GGUUGAAAUCUCACUGCGUGAGGUGAAAUCUCUACGAGAUGAAAUCUGCUACGCAGGUGAAAAGGAAA